Caenorhabditis elegans is the source of this 340-nucleotide non-coding RNA. Lineage: Eukaryota; Metazoa; Nematoda; Chromadorea; Rhabditida; Rhabditidae. The record is from Ensembl.
AUGGGGUGUGGUUUGUGCGACGGACCCAUAGGCGGAGAAUAUUUUAAGGGGUUAGAAGAGGGGAAAGAGUAGAAGCUUUUUCUCCAUCUUCUUCAGAGAUAAAAGCGGGGCACGAUGGAAGAGAAAGGAGAAGAAGACCAAUUGUAAAAAGACUGGGAAAACGAGGAAAGGAGGGAGGUCUCUUCCAAGCGAGCGGUUAAUGUUCAGAGAUCAAUAGAACACAAAGUGGGCGGGGGCAACACACACACACAUACACAGUCAGUUGUCUAUGUAGCUAGUAUAUUGCGCAGAUUUCGCAAUGGUCGGUUAGGGGAGCGAGAGGACUGAUCGUUGAAGUGAG